RNAcentral lists this ribosomal RNA (448 nucleotides) under uncultured bacterium. RNAcentral describes it as "bacterial SSU rRNA". It matches the Rfam family "Bacterial small subunit ribosomal RNA", at positions 328 to 792 of the family's 1533-position model. The record is from RNAcentral.
AGCCCAGACUCCUACGGGAGGCAGCAGUGGGGAAUAUUGCACAAUGGGGGAAACCCUGAUGCAGCGACGCCGCGUGAGCGAGGAAGUAUUUCGGUCUGUAAAGCUCUGUCAGCAGGGAAGAAGAAUGACGGUACCUGAGUAAGAAGCCCCGGCUAACUACGUGCCAGCAGCCGCGGUAAUACGUAGGGGGCAAGCGUUAUCCGGAUUUACUGGGUGUAAAGGGAGCGUAGACGGCGAUGCAAGUCUGAAGUGAAAGCCCGGGGCUCAACCCCGGGACUGCUUUGGAAACUGUAUGGCUGGAGUGCUGGAGAGGCAAGCGGAAUUCCUGGUGUAGCGGUGAAAUGCGUAGAUAUCAGGAGGAACACCGGUGGCGAAGGCGGCCUGCUGGACUGCAACUGACGUUGAGGCCCGAAAGCGUGGGGAGCAAACAGGAUUAGAUACCCUCGUA